Molecule: unclassified non-coding RNA, 305 nt
Filed under: plant metagenome
Description: partial contains 5.8S ribosomal RNA, internal transcribed spacer 2, and large subunit ribosomal RNA
Rfam family: 5.8S ribosomal RNA (bases 1-105)
Source: RNAcentral
GAAAUGCGAUAAGUAGUGUGAAUUGCAGAAUUCAGUGAAUCAUCGAAUCUUUGAACGCACAUUGCGCCCUUUGGUAUUCCUUAGGGCAUGCCUGUUCGAGCGUCAUCUAAACCUUCAAGCCCUGCUUGGUGUUGGGUGCCUGUCCCGCCUCCGCGCGCGGACUCACCUCAAAUCCAUUGGCGGCCCCCGCGUCGGCCACGAGCGCAGCUGAAACGCGAACUCGUGAGCCCGUCCGGGCGGCUCCCAGAAGCUACACCCACCCAGUUUGACCUCGGAUCAGGUAGGGAUACCCGCUGAACUUAAGC